AUUGCAUUUUCGAGCUGCUUCAUGUAACCAGAAUUCCGCGUUUGAGAGUCCUGGUAGCUCUGUCGUCUUCCUGGACGCACAGCAGCAAGUCUGACUUGGAAAGGCGCUGUUUUUCUUCGUGACUGUCGUUUGAGAUCACGGACUGAUGCAGGUUCGCUCCUCUGUACCACGGCAGUGAGAGUGACGGAGCCCUUCCCGGGGGAACCCGGGAGACGCAGCCGGCAAAGGUCACAUUUGUCUCCCUGCAAAGAUGCAAGCCUGAAAACCUUUCUGCUGAUCCCUGGGGCAACAUUCCCUUCAAGUUGAUCACAGUGCAUGGAAAGAACAAGUCCUCUAAGACAAGCUAGUGUGUUAAAGCCACCAAGGUGAUAUGCUGUGCCCAGCUGUGGGCAGAAGGCAGCCUUCCCUGCAUGCCAAGUGAGUGUAGAAGCUGUCUGGCAUUGGCAUGCCUGGCAUUUCACACAUGGUGCCUAACACUAGCACAGCCAAGCCCAGGUUUCCAGGUAUGUUCUUUCUGGGCUUAUUUCUACCAUCAUGUGCCAGAGCAAGUAGUAUCUUAUUCAUCAGUGAAUUUCACCCAGUCUUACUCAGGGAGAUGGAAUUGGUCCUACAACAACAGCAACAAUAGCUUUUUACCUGUGUCUUUUCCAACACUCCCUGUGUGGCCUUCCCACCACAAUAAUAAACAGAAGCUCCCAGAAAGCAGCAGCAAGUUCAGAGAGAGCUGGCUCCUCCCCAGUUUGAUUUUUUUUUUUUUUACCAGGUGGUGUUUGCUUUAAGACCUUGAGCUACAAAAUAUCAUUUCUAGUUCUAGCAUUGAACUCCUGGGAAGACAUAAACCCUUCAAUGCAAUGGACAACUAAACACUUUUAAAUAUAGUUAUCUAAUGGAUAGCAGUACUGACUUUUGUGCAUGCUGCUUCUAACAUGAAUCUACCUAGCCUCUGCUUUCAGAAACCAAAGAUUAAAACGAUUUCAUCUUCUAGACAAGAAGUCCCUAUAUUUGAUAACAGGGGUGGAUUACAAUCUCUCCCACUCUCCCUGCUUUACCCUUCCUUCUGUUCCUGCACUUAAAUCUGGACAUGUGUGGACAUUGAGGAAGAGGUUUUGUGCCUACCAGCAGCUGCAAUGCUUGUGUCACAUCCAACUCCAUAUUGCAAGGUGCUGAGUAACAGCUUAUGAUCCCUAUCAAGUAAUGGCUCCAGGGUUUGUUUACCAACAUCCACUGGAGACUUCAGCUUUUCUGUGGAAACAGAAACUGAGCCCAGGCUUAUCCAGGAAGCCCAAAAGUCCACGUGGACCCAUCCAUAGAGAAGACAGCCACCGCUCAGCCUCCUGUUUUACCUCUUGGACUGCUGCGUCCCUCUGAGACAGACUCCAUUGAGAUCUCUGUGAAAUGAAUGAUGUGACUUACCAGUAUCUUCCAAGCUGUUCCAAGAAUAUCAGCAAGGCACUGGGAUAUGGCAGAGGGACUGGAGACUUUUCUGAGAAGGUUUUACCCAGUGAUGGAAAAUAUAUUUGUGUUAUUACUUUAGCACAAGUGUCUUCUAUAAUGCUAAGGUUUGCUUUCAAAUAAAACAUAAAUUGCACAUCUGGUUGGAAGAAAUAAAUGCAAUAGUGCUUCAAAGACUAUCUGUCAGGCUUAAAAAGCAAAGAGAUGAGGAUUUAUUGGUGUUUUUAUUAUGAACAUAAAAGCCUUGGGAUCUCAAAAUAGACCAAGGUUAUAGGUAAAUAUGGGUUCUAUUUUCUUCUUUGUUCGCCUUAACAUAUUAUUAGCAUCAAGCUAAAAAAGGAUCAUCUGAAUGUUAAUAUGUUUACUGUGUGCACACGGGUGUUAGCUUAAUCAAUACACAGAUGUAGAAGACUGCAGAGAAAAGUAUCCACUACAAGUAUAAUCAUCAUCUUAAACAUUUCAGACAGCAUCUUCAUUCUGGAGAUAUUAUUUGCUUGAGAAACCCCACUCUUGUAAUUUCCCAGUCUUUCAAGACUUUUGUGAAGCAGCAGUGGGCUGCUUCUGUGCAAAGGCUUGGAAUGGACAUCUAUUUGCAAAUGAACAAGCAAUGAAGAAAGUGGGAGUUUCUAAAGUCGAUUACUUAUAAAAUUAAAAUUUGAGGAAGCUUGGGUAAAAAUAACAUGUCCAAAUCAGCAAAUAUUGGGUGGCUUCAAGACAUAUACAUUAAAUUUCCUGCCUGAGCUGCUGGUGACUUCAGCCUCCUUUCCAGGAGAAAAUUAUCCUUUGCAAUGCUGGUUAAAACCUUGCAUGACUCACUCCGAGGUGUUGGAGGGGGCUGUACAAAUCCUGGUCCCCACUUUCUCCUAAAAAUUGUCUGUAAGAGGUUCAAUUUUGCUGUGUCAGGACUGAGUUGAAUCUUUCAUAGGAUUUAAAUUAAAUCCUUGGCAACCACUUUUCUGAUUUUAUAACAAAAUCUGACCUAUGUGUUAAAGUGAGGACAUUGUUUUGCUGGGUUAUUGCUUAAUUACUAAAUGAAGAAAUAUUAAGUACAAAGUUAAUGACUCAUGCAAUAUUUCCAAAUGACAUGUACUAUAAAGCCCCAUUUACAUCUACCACACUGGUGUUUAACUCACUUUCCAUUAUUCCUGAGGCUAUUAAUGUCAGUAAUUACAGCAGGUAACAUGUCUAGU
Molecule: long non-coding RNA, 2642 nt
Organism: Motacilla alba alba
Lineage: Eukaryota; Metazoa; Chordata; Aves; Passeriformes; Motacillidae
Exons: 5
Source: RefSeq, a predicted model, not a curated record